RNAcentral lists this transfer RNA (58 nucleotides) under Salmo salar (Atlantic salmon). It matches the Rfam family "tRNA", at positions 8 to 63 of the family's 71-position model. From Rfam's summary of the family: Transfer RNA (tRNA) molecules are approximately 80 nucleotides in length. Their secondary structure includes four short double-helical elements and three loops (D, anti-codon, and T loops). Further hydrogen bonds mediate the characteristic L-shaped molecular structure. tRNAs have two regions of fundamental functional importance: the anti-codon, which is responsible for specific mRNA codon recognition, and the 3' end, to which the tRNAs corresponding amino acid is attached (by aminoacyl-tRNA synthetases). tRNAs cope with the degeneracy of the genetic code in two manners: having more than one tRNA (with a specific anti-codon) for a particular amino acid; and 'wobble' base-pairing, i.e. permitting non-standard base-pairing at the 3rd anti-codon position. RNAcentral also lists the same sequence under 1 other name. Lineage: Eukaryota; Metazoa; Chordata; Actinopteri; Salmoniformes; Salmonidae. The record is from Rfam by way of RNAcentral.
UGGCUCAGAUGGUAGAGCAUGGUGCUUGAGAUGCUAAGGUUGUGGGUUUGAUUCCCAC